This is a long non-coding RNA of Mus musculus (house mouse), 297 nucleotides long. RefSeq annotates it as predicted gene, 39543. The record is from RefSeq and is a predicted model, not a curated record. The transcript is spliced from 3 exons. Lineage: Eukaryota; Metazoa; Chordata; Mammalia; Rodentia; Muridae.
UGAGAGAGGUUCUUUCCUUGCUUGUUUAAACAUCUCUCACAAUUCCAGCAGCUCAGAUAGAUCAAGACUGCCGUCCUGGGAUUCCUCCAACAUAUACUCGUAAUCCUGACUGCUCAUGAGAGAACUAUGCAACUGCUGCCAGCACGCGGGCACACCAACAUGCACCAUACAGGAAAAGGACAACUCUACCAGAAUUUCCUCCCUGGAUGCUUGGCCUCAGAUAACCCAAUUUAUGGAACUGCCUCAAUAUGUGUUGCUGGACAUAACAGUCUGAGUGAAGAAGAAUGCCAGAAAGAC